AUUGAACGCUGGCGGCAUGCCUUACACAUGCAAGUCGAACGGCAGCGCGGACUUCGGUCUGUCGUCGAGUGGCCAACUGGUGAGUGAUACAUCAGAACGUACCCUUUUGUGUUGUAUAACUAGUCGACAUAUUAGCUCAUACCCCAUACGACCUUACGAUGUAAGUGUGAGACCGGGAACUGCCUCAUGCAUCCGCGGCGGCCGAUGUCUGAUUAGCUAGUUGGUGGGGUAAAGGCCCACCAAGGCGACGAUCAGUAGCUGGUCUGAGAGGACGAUCAGCCACACUGGGACUGAGACACGGCCCAGACUCCUACGGGAGGCAGCAGUGGGGAAUUUUGGACAAUGGGGGCAACCCUGAUCCAGCAAUGCCGCGUGUGUGAAGAAGGCCUUCGGGUUGUAAAGCACUUUUGUACGGAAAGAAAUCGCGCUGGUUAAUACCUGGCGUGGAUGACGGUACCGGAAGAAUAAGCACCGGCUAACUACGUG
This 486-nucleotide ribosomal RNA is filed under the name uncultured bacterium. Its description in RNAcentral is "partial 16S ribosomal RNA". It matches the Rfam family "Bacterial small subunit ribosomal RNA", at positions 30 to 507 of the family's 1533-position model. The record is from RNAcentral.